UACGUAGGGGGCAAGCGUUGUCCGGAAUCAUUGGGCGUAAAGCGCGUGUAGGCGGCCCAGUAAGUCCGCUCUGAAAGCCCGGGGCUCAACCCCGGGAGGCGGGUGGAUACUGCUGGGCUCGAGUCCGGAAGAGGCGAGUGGAAUUCCUGGUGUAGCGGUGAAAUGCGCAGAUAUCAGGAGGAACACCGGUGGCGAAGGCGGUUCUCUGGGAAUAUCCUGACGCUGAGGAGCGAAAGUGUGGGGAGCGAACAGG
Molecule: ribosomal RNA, 253 nt
Filed under: uncultured bacterium
Lineage: Bacteria
Description: partial 16S ribosomal RNA
Rfam family: Bacterial small subunit ribosomal RNA
Source: RNAcentral